This 108-nucleotide transfer RNA is filed under the name Tauraco erythrolophus (red-crested turaco). It matches the Rfam family "tRNA". Rfam says of the family: Transfer RNA (tRNA) molecules are approximately 80 nucleotides in length. The record is from Rfam by way of RNAcentral. Lineage: Eukaryota; Metazoa; Chordata; Aves; Musophagiformes; Musophagidae.
GUCAGGAUGGCCGAGUGGUCUAAGGCGCCAGACUCAAGGCUCUGUCUUCCUGCAGUUGGGAAUUCUGGUCUCCGUGCGGAGGCAUGGGUUCAAAUCCCACUCCUCACA